GAAAUGCGAUAAGUAGUGUGAAUUGCAGAAUUCAGUGAAUCAUCGAAUCUUUGAACGCACAUUGCGCUUCCUGGUAUUCCGGGGAGCAUGCCCGUUUCAGAAUCAUUAAAAUUUCACAAGUCUAUUGUCAGCUUUCGGGCUCAUUGGCAUGUGGAUUUGGAUGUUUUGCUUUGCGCAAUCAUUUUAAAUUGAUUGUAUGUGUGCCAUGUUGUAACAUUGGUUAUCUAAAAGUGCAACAGAUUUUUCUAUUCUCUUUUGGUAAGCGAUGUCAACAAUGUGUUGUCAAUACUUUCUUUAUAAAAAGAUGUUGAUUGUAAAGUCACAUUUUUGAUAACUUGGUCUGAAAUUGGGCAAGAAAACCCGCUGAACUUAA
Molecule: unclassified non-coding RNA, 373 nt
Filed under: uncultured fungus
Lineage: Eukaryota; Fungi
Description: sequence contains ITS1
Rfam family: 5.8S ribosomal RNA (bases 1-105)
Source: RNAcentral